CCUACGGGAGGCAGCAGUGGGGAAUCUUGCGCAAUGGGGGGGAACCCUGACGCAGCGACGCCGCGUGCGGGACGGAGGCCUUCGGGUCGUAAACCGCUUUCAGCAGGGAAGAGUCAAGACUGUACCUGCAGAAGAAGCCCCGGCUAACUACGUGCCAGCA
Molecule: ribosomal RNA, 160 nt
Filed under: uncultured bacterium
Lineage: Bacteria
Description: partial 16S ribosomal RNA
Rfam family: Bacterial small subunit ribosomal RNA
Source: RNAcentral